AUGUGUUGCUAUCGUACUAAACCGAACAACAUAUGUAUCUUUAUCGAUACCAAUAUUUAUUUGAACCAUAUUGAAACUGACCGAAUAACAUCGGUGCCAGUACCGGUGCUCGUUUUUAUCGUUUUUUAUUAAUGGAAAACACGUAUUGAUUUCACUACCGAGUGAUAUAUCGUAUCGAUACUGUAAUAAACGAACCGAUACCAAUCAAAUACCUACAGUAACGUACCGCCGCAACGCACGAUCAAAUACACUAGUUAAGUAUUAAAACCAGAUAAUUUGUACAUAUAAAUUGAAAUCAUAUAAAGCUUAGUUACAUACGUGCGAUUAUACGAAAGAAAUCGUGUAAAAUUUGCUAAAACCUUUUUUUCUUAAGUUUAAAUUUAAAUCUUUGUUUUCUGUUAUUAUUAUUAUUAUUAAAUUAAUUUUUUACUUAUUUAAAAUAACUUCGACCAUUGUAAAAUCGAUAUCCUUUUCCUCGUAUAAAAUCUAUAUCCAUUUACUCAUGUUUUUUUCGGUUGCUAUAGUAAGUCUCAGUGUCAUAACCUAACAAACCAAACCGAUACUUGUUGAAAUCUCGUUGCGUAACGCCAGUAAUUCUGCUA
RNAcentral lists this long non-coding RNA (602 nucleotides) under Helianthus annuus (common sunflower). Lineage: Eukaryota; Viridiplantae; Streptophyta; Magnoliopsida; Asterales; Asteraceae. The record is from RNAcentral.